UAGCAUAAUUAACUAUUAGGUGCCUUUUUUUAAAAGGAGAAUAGGGAAACCGGUGGAAAUCCGGUGCGGUCCCGCCACUGUAAGGUGGAGUUUAGCAUAUCAGCCACUGGAAUACCGGGAAGGCAUGUUAAAUGAAGAAGCCGAGCCAGGAGACCUGCCUUGUAGUUUUAGUUAUA
This 176-nucleotide non-coding RNA is filed under the name Clostridiaceae bacterium. Lineage: Bacteria; Bacillati; Bacillota; Clostridia; Eubacteriales; Clostridiaceae. The record is from RNAcentral.